RNAcentral lists this ribosomal RNA (272 nucleotides) under Streptomyces sp. AC9. Its description in RNAcentral is "partial 16S ribosomal RNA". It matches the Rfam family "Bacterial small subunit ribosomal RNA", at positions 1002 to 1269 of the family's 1533-position model. Lineage: Bacteria; Bacillati; Actinomycetota; Actinomycetes; Kitasatosporales; Streptomycetaceae. The record is from RNAcentral.
AGAGAUAGUGCCCCCCUUGUGGUCGGUGUACAGGUGGUGCAUGGCUGUCGUCAGCUCGUGUCGUGAGAUGUUGGGUUAAGUCCCGCAACGAGCGCAACCCUUGUUCUGUGUUGCCAGCAUGCCCUUCGGGGUGAUGGGGACUCACAGGAGACUGCCGGGGUCAACUCGGAGGAAGGUGGGGACGACGUCAAGUCAUCAUGCCCCUUAUGUCUUGGGCUGCACACGUGCUACAAUGGCAGGUACAAUGAGCUGCGAAGCCGUGAGGCGGAGCG